CACCAUGAUGGAACUUUUUUUUGGGGGGGGGUGCCCAAAAUCUUGAAUGCCAAGUUUUCCUCAAACUCUGAGCCUGCAGAGAGGCCCAUGGCCAGCACCCCCUGCGUGAGGACAGCAAGGAGGCCUCUCCCCUGCAAACCACACUCAUCCUUCUCGGAAACUGCUCCCUCUAAGUCGGGCACGUUGGCACCUUCGCUCAGCUGAGGUCGCUCUGGGCCUGAUGAGGGGAGGCCACGCCGCAGAGGAUCCUGGGAAACUGCGCCUGUUCCCGCAGGAGGCAGCGAGUCCGCACACGGAGCUGGGGCUGAAUCACAGGAUCCAUCAACACCAGCCCACCUCCCAUCUAGGUGCAACCAGCUUCCAGCCUGCUCCCAAAGCUGCAGUAUAAGGUCUGUGAGAGCAGGCAUCUUCUUGAGCACCAGCUGCAUCCUCAGAACAGCCCUCGGCACACAGCAGGCUCUCCGGGAACCCUUGCCGAAUGAAACAGGAAACACCUGUCCCAACGCAGUUGGAUAAGGAGGCUGGUCUGUCUGUGGAGGAGGCGAAACAUGGGGAGGUGCUGGCUGAGCAGUUUCCAGAAUUGAGGAAGACCAAGCAUCAUCAGAUUCAGGAAGCCCGGCAGGCUUGGGGCCAAAGGGAAGACAUGCCACACGGACGGACGGACGGACGGAUGGGCAGGCGGCUGCAUCCAGCGUGAUCUGAGGCUCGAGGAAGCUGGAGGUACUGAUAUGGCUCAGCUAUUUGAUGGAAGAGAGGCUCAGAGAGGUCAAGGAACCUGCCCUGGGCCUCACAGCUGGACGGCGGAGGCAGGAUCUGAACCAGGGCCUGUCUGCGUGCCUUCUACUACACCCCACGGUGGGGACAGGGGCGGGCUGGCCGGCGGGGCUCCCCCUGCACAGGUCAGUUCCAGCACCAGGCAGGGCCCGGCCCAUGCUUUUCUGAGUCUCAUCCUGACGUCCCUUAGGGAUGGGAGAGGAGUCCGGGGCCUGGCCCUCCCUGGGGGGGCCUCGGUGUCCCCAUCUGUAAAGUGACAGAGUAGAACCAUCCUCUCAGCCCCCAGUGGUCACAGGGCGCUGGGUGGGGGGCAAGGUACAGACAGAGGCCACAGACACUGAACAUCUCACGGUUACAAACCAACCUCCAUGGGGGCCCACAGCCCUGACGAGCCCUGAAGCUGUUUUCCUGGCAUCACCCAGACACACGUGGAGCCUGGAGAGAGGGGCUCUGCUGGGCCCCCUACGGGGACAGGGGCUUCCCUCCUUCCCCCUCGAGCAUUUUGGGUUUUUUUUAUG
Sus scrofa (pig) is the source of this 1292-nucleotide long non-coding RNA. RefSeq lists it as uncharacterized. The record is from RefSeq and is a predicted model, not a curated record. NCBI's taxonomy places the organism in Eukaryota, Metazoa, Chordata, Mammalia, Artiodactyla, Suidae.